UCUACCCGCAACAGGAGGAUAGCUCCCCGAAAGGGGGAAUUAAACCCUCCAUGAGAUCACGGGGUGGCAUCACCUAGUGAUUAAAUCUGAGGAGGUUGUGGAUGAGCAUGCGACUGAUUAGCUAGUUGGCAGUGUAACGGACUACCAAGGCAAUGAUCAGUAGGGGAACUGAGAGGUUGAUCCCCCACACUGGCACUGAGAUACGGGCCAG
This 211-nucleotide ribosomal RNA is filed under the name uncultured bacterium. RNAcentral's name for it is "partial 16S ribosomal RNA". It matches the Rfam family "Bacterial small subunit ribosomal RNA", at positions 125 to 334 of the family's 1533-position model. The record is from RNAcentral.